UCGUACGUAGCAGAGCAGCUCCCU
Molecule: non-coding RNA, 24 nt
Filed under: Gallus gallus (chicken)
Lineage: Eukaryota; Metazoa; Chordata; Aves; Galliformes; Phasianidae
Also listed under: 6 other names
Source: RNAcentral